RNAcentral lists this ribosomal RNA (913 nucleotides) under uncultured archaeon. RNAcentral describes it as "bacterial SSU rRNA". It matches the Rfam family "Archaeal small subunit ribosomal RNA", at positions 1 to 922 of the family's 1478-position model. The record is from RNAcentral.
UCUGGUUGAUCCUGCCGGCGGCCACCGCUAUUGGAAUUCGAUUAAGACAUGCGAGUCGAGAGUCGUAAGGACUCGGCGGACCGCUCAGUAACACGCGGAUAACAUGCCCUUAGGUGGAGGAUAAUCUCGGAAAACUGAGGAUAAUACUCCAUAGAUCUACUAUGCUGGAAUGCUUGUAGGUCCAAAACUCCGGUGCCUAAGGAUUGGUCUGCGGCGUAUCAGGUCGUAGUGGGUGUAACGGACCCACUAGCCGAUGACGCGUAAGGGCCUUGAGAGAGGGAGCCCUGAGAUGGACUCUGAGACAUGAGUCCAGGCCCUACGGGGCGCAGCAGUCGCGAAAACUUCACAAUGGGGGAAACCCCGAUGAGGGAAUUCCAAGUGUCAGCACAUUGUGUUGACUGUUCCCCUGUCUAAAAAACAGGAGAAGUAAGGGCCGGGUAAGACGGGUGCCAGCCGCCGCGGUAAUACCCGCGGCCCGAGUGGUGGUCGAUAUUAUUGAGCCUAAAACGUUCGUAGCCGGUCUUGUAAAUCCUUGGGUAAAUCGGCCAGCUUAACUGUCCGAAGUCCGGGGAGACUGCAAGACUUGGGAUCGGGAGAGGUCAGAGGUACUUCUGGGGUAGGGGUAAAAUCCUGUAAUCCUAGAAGGACCACCGGUGGCGAAGGCGUCUGACUAGAACGAAUUCGACGGUGAGGAACGAAGCCCUGGGGCGCAAACGGGAUUAGAUACCCCGGUAGUCCAGGGUGUAAACGCUGCGGGCUUGGUGUUGGGGGUCCUUAGUGGGCGCCCAGUGCCGGAGAGAAGUUGUUAAGCCUGCUGCUUGGGGAGUAUGUCCGCAAGGAUGAAACUUAAAGGAAUUGGCGGGGGAGCACCGCAACGGGAGGAGCGUGCGGUUCAAUUGGAUUCAACGCCGGG